AGCCAUGUAACAUCCUUCCAUGGUCCAUGAUUCCGCUUUGUUAUUGGAGUUGUGGUUUGCUGUAAUUUUCAAGGCAAUUUGUGGGACCAAAAUUAGAAAGAUAAAUGUUUACAUUCACUAAAUUGUCAUGAGUACUGACAAGGAGAAAAAGUUACCUCAUCUCCAUGGCUCUUGCUGGCAUCUCAUAGUUUUGUUGAUGAGGCUGGCUUAGUUGGAAAUGGACAGGUACAUGCAAAUCCUCUCCUAUGGUAAAUCCAUUUGGAAGAAAGGGAUUUUGGUUCACAUCACUUAAGUCGCUUGUUUCAUAAACUUGAGAUCCGAAAAUUGCUUCUUAGGUUGUCUUUGAUUCUUCAUUCUUGUAGUUGUAUCUUUGUGCUUGUAGUGCCAUGUCAGUAACAAUGAAUGUUCUCUUCAGAAAUGAAGAGAAGAGUAGCUCACCCCAGCUUGCAAAUGGGAUUUCAAUACGCUGCAAUCCAUGCACCAGAGUGCAUUAAUGGAUUUCUUUCUGGGAUCUAUCUUACAACAAUUUCAGUGGAGAUUUGCCAGUCUCAUUCAGUAAUUUGACAAAUCUUAACAUUCUGAAAGCUCUCUUUACAAAUAUCAUGUGGAUGAACUUAUUUGUUCAGGCAAGUAUCUUUUUUCUCUUAUACCUUAUGAAAACCUCAGAGAAUUAAAUGAUUGUAAUUAUAUUGUAAUUGGAGAUUGAUUGAAAAUGAAACUCCUUAUGAAAAUUACCACAGAAUAAACUGAAACUCAUCCUCGCAUCUCGGGUCUCUGUUUUUCUUUAUGUGCCUAGUUUUCCUCUCCUCUUCUCUAAAAAGGAUCCUUGUACAACUGUUUGUUAACCCAAUUCAUGAAACCACCUCUUUCAGAUUUCAGUCCUAUAGUCUUUUAGUCUAGAAUCAACUUCAUACACUUUGGUAAUAACAACAAUCUGAAAUAUGCUAAUGAUGGAAAUUAUCUUAAUUGCCAUAAAAUUAGGGAAAGCUACACGUCCUCUUCAAAAUUUUGAAAAAUGUCGCUAUCACCAUCCUUCUAAAAAGAAAUUAAAAUUCCAACCAAGCUGAAAUUAGAAGCUGAG
Molecule: long non-coding RNA, 1081 nt
Organism: Magnolia sinica
Lineage: Eukaryota; Viridiplantae; Streptophyta; Magnoliopsida; Magnoliales; Magnoliaceae
Exons: 3
Source: RefSeq, a predicted model, not a curated record